This 286-nucleotide long non-coding RNA is filed under the name Phascolarctos cinereus (koala). Its description in RNAcentral is "lncRNA (ENSPCIG00000032819.1)". The record is from RNAcentral. Lineage: Eukaryota; Metazoa; Chordata; Mammalia; Diprotodontia; Phascolarctidae.
CUGGUGCCUUCUUUCCGGGGCUACCCGGACGGCAGUCAACGGUGGAAGAAUGAGCUCUAGUAGCUGCUGCUUCCCAGGCGCUCGGAGAUGGGCAGCGAGAGCGCGCGUAGCAGCAGCACCAGCUCCGGGGCCGCCGCCGCUGAUCUUCUCUUCCUUCGGGGCUGGACCGCGCGCCUUCCUCAGCACGCCGCCGCCACGCAGCCCUCGGUCUCCGGGUCAAUGGCGCUAUCCCCCUAGGAUGGAUUACUCUGUGCUUGGGAAGGGGAUCUUCAGAGAUCAACAAUGA